GUAAAACAGGUGUGUUCUGCAAUACACAUUCAACAUGCUCUUGUUUCGCCGGAAGAGAUUUCCUCCUUUUUGUUUUUAAAUGUUCUUUCCCAUUUGACUCCAAAUUCACAGGCAGUUCAGGCUCGGGUUCAGGCUCAGGUUUAGGCUUAGGUUCGGUUUCAGGCUCGGGGUCAGCGGGACCCUGUUCAGGCUCAGGCUCAGGCUUAGGCUCGGACUCAGGCUCGGGUGGAGGUGGAGGUGGACCCUGUCCAGAAGCUGCAGCCAUUGAUACGGAAAUUUUGCGUAGACUUUGUUUGACCUUCUCGAGUUCACUAUGAGAUUGUUCAGGGAUUGAUUCUGGUUG
Molecule: long non-coding RNA, 343 nt
Filed under: Lactuca sativa (garden lettuce)
Lineage: Eukaryota; Viridiplantae; Streptophyta; Magnoliopsida; Asterales; Asteraceae
Description: long non-coding RNA (LSAT_LNC002729)
Source: RNAcentral